AUGCUGUCCUCCUCGGCAAAGUUUUCUUGUUCUUGUGCAGAGCGUGACCGGUGGCCGCUUGAGGCCAGGCUCAUCUGCGCCGCCCACGACGGUAGCGUCCGCAAAAUCAAGAAGACCGCAAAGGAGCUCGAUGUGCAUGGGCACGGUAUCCCGGCGACGGUGGCCAGCACCACCAACAUGGGAAUGAACAUGCUGGACAUCAGUCCAAGUAGAAUAACGGCCACCAUCUUCACCAAGCGCUGCACAUCCAUCCAAGUCGAGUACAUACAACAGUCCAAGGUCACUCGUCUAAAGUCAAGGGUCCACGACAUAUGUUUCAGAAGAUCAGUACCAUCAUUACAAACAAAUCAGUACUAUCAUUACAAAAGGAGGUUCAAAGACUGCCGUGUAGCAAGUUCAAGAGUUUAG
Molecule: ribosomal RNA, 408 nt
Filed under: Triticum aestivum (bread wheat)
Lineage: Eukaryota; Viridiplantae; Streptophyta; Magnoliopsida; Poales; Poaceae
Description: partial small subunit ribosomal RNA
Source: RNAcentral